UUUGGCAAAACCUUCCUGCUGGAACUGCUAAGGACUACAAGUAAAAGGAUCCAACCCGGAAUACCACAUUAUAUUCGGUCAUCUCGUAUCUCAAGUCUCCACUGCUCUGUUACAGUUUACCAAUCUUCCCGGAUUCUUCAAGAUUCUACAGCUUUCAGGCAUCCUGGCCAGUUUCCUUUUAGACUAUCCCUAAAGCUGGAUUUUUCGUAUGUUUUCCUCAUGAUUAGACUCCAUUUAGGGGGUUUGGAGAAGAAUAUCAAAUUUCCUUUUAUCAUUGUCAUGCCAGAGGUUUUCUGCAAUUAAUAUGAUUUGUCAUUGGUGAUGAUCACCCUAACCACUUGUUUAAAGUAUUUUUGUAGCUUUCUCCACUGUAAAGAUGCUAUUUUUCCUUUUAUACUCUGUUCUGUGAAAGGAGUCCACAUCAUACUGAAGAGGUUAAUCCAUAUUCCCUCUGUGAAGGCAUUUCAUCUUUUCCUGGGCAAAUAUGACUGCUUAGUUUUAAGAUUAUCAUUACCGGCCAAAACGGUGAGAAAAAUAAAACUUGGAAGGCUGGAACUCCUUGAUAGCUUUGAAAGUGUUUGCUUCCUGAAGAGUUGCAUUUCCAGAAACAUGCAGUGGGAAACUAUUGUGCUUUGGGUCCUGCCUUCAAGCAAGAUAACACUUCGCUACUCAAAGGAGCACAGGACUUGAUCAUAUAUUGGGUCAAAAUGAAGCAAACAUUUGAAUUGCAUCAAUUCCCAAAAUAUCUGGUUCUGUUCAGUGGACCUUAUAUUUAUGCAAAUACUGAGACUGAAAUAAACACAGCA
RNAcentral lists this long non-coding RNA (806 nucleotides) under Equus caballus (horse). Its description in RNAcentral is "lncRNA (ENSECAG00000035973.2)". Lineage: Eukaryota; Metazoa; Chordata; Mammalia; Perissodactyla; Equidae. The record is from RNAcentral.